UGCCAGCAGCCGCGGUAACACGGGGGGCGCAAGCGUUAUUCGGAAUUAUUGGGCGUAAAGGGCGCGCAGGCGGUCUUGUCAGUCUGAUGUGAAAGCCCGGGGCUCAACCCCGGAAGUGCAUUGGAAACUGGCGAACUUGAGUACGGGAGAGGAAAGUGGAAUUCCGAGUGUAGGGGUGAAAUCCGUAGAUAUUCGGAGGAACACCAGUGGCGAAGGCGGCUUUCUGGACCGAUACUGACGCUGAGACGCGAAAGCGUGGGGAGCAAACAGGAUUAGCUA
RNAcentral lists this ribosomal RNA (279 nucleotides) under uncultured bacterium. RNAcentral's name for it is "partial 16S ribosomal RNA". It matches the Rfam family "Bacterial small subunit ribosomal RNA", at positions 506 to 784 of the family's 1533-position model. The record is from RNAcentral.